Molecule: ribosomal RNA, 445 nt
Filed under: uncultured bacterium
Lineage: Bacteria
Description: partial 16S ribosomal RNA
Rfam family: Bacterial small subunit ribosomal RNA
Source: RNAcentral
ACCAGACUCCUACGGGAGGCAGCAGUGGGGAAUAUUGCACAAUGGGGGGAACCCUGAUGCAGCGACGCCGCGUGGGUGAAGAAGCGCCUCGGCGCGUAAAGCCCUGUCAGCAGGGAAGAAAAUGACGGUACCUGAAGAAGAAGCCCCGGCUAACUACGUGCCAGCAGCCGCGGUAAUACGUAGGGGGCAAGCGUUAUCCGGAUUUACUGGGUGUAAAGGGGGCGCAGACGGCGAUGCAAGCCAGGAGUGAAAGCCCGGGGCCCAACCCCGGGACUGCUCUUGGAACUGCGUGGCUGGAGUGCAGGAGGGGCAGGCGGAAUUCCUGGUGUAGCGGUGAAAUGCGUAGAUAUCAGGAGGAACACCGGUGGCGAAGGCGGCCUGCUGGACUGCAACUGACGUUGAGGCCCGAAAGCGUGGGGAGCAAACAGGAUUAGAUACCCCCGUA